AACGCACAUUGCGCUCCCUGGUAUUCCGGGGAGCAUGCCCGUUUCAGAAUCAUUUUAAUAUCUCACCAAGUUAUGGGUGGAAGCUCAUAACAAGGUGGAAUUUGGAUGUUUUUGUCUCUGUACAAUCAUCUUAAAGUGAUCGUAUGUGCUUGAGAGUGCUCUGGCAGUUGGGUACCAACGUGCAACAGAUUUUAUCUAUUCGCGUCGGUAUUUAAUUGAAAUCAGGCACCUGAAGUGUAUAUCUGCUGGCUUACAGAUGUUAUGCAUAAUGCAUGUAUGGCUUCUGAUAACUUGGUCUGAAAUUGGGCAAGAAAACCCGCUGAACUUAA
Molecule: unclassified non-coding RNA, 329 nt
Filed under: uncultured Spizellomyces
Lineage: Eukaryota; Fungi; Chytridiomycota
Description: sequence contains ITS2
Source: RNAcentral